UGGGGAAUUUUGGACAAUGGGCGAAAGCCUGAUCCAGCAAUGCCGCGUGUGUGAAGAAGGCCUUCGGGUUGUAAAGCACUUUUGUCCGGAAAGAAAUCCUUGGCUCUAAUACAGUCGGGGGAUGACGGUACCGGAAGAAUAAGCACCGGCUAACUACGUGCCAGCAGCCGCGGUAAUACGUAGGGUGCAAGCGUUAAUCGGAAUUACUGGGCGUAAAGCGUGCGCAGGCGGUUUGCUAAGACCGAUGUGAAAUCCCCGGGCCCAACCUGGGAACUGCAUUGGUGACUGGCAGGCUAGAGUAUGGCAGAGGGGGGUAGAAUUCCACGUGUAGCAGUGAAAUGCGUAGAGAUGUGGAGGAAUACCGAUGGCGAAGGCAGCCCCCUGGGCCAAUACUGACGCUCAUGCACGAAAGCGUGGGGAGCAAACAGGAUUAGAUACCCUGGGUAGUCCACGCCCUAAACGAUGUCAACUAGUUGUUGGGGAUUCA
Molecule: ribosomal RNA, 487 nt
Filed under: uncultured bacterium
Lineage: Bacteria
Description: partial 16S ribosomal RNA
Rfam family: Bacterial small subunit ribosomal RNA
Source: RNAcentral